GAUGAACGCUGGCGGCGUGCUUAACACAUGCAAGUCGAACGAUGAAGCCCAGCUUUCUCGGUGGAUUAGUGGCCAACGGGUGAGUAACUCGUGAGUAACCUGCCCUUCACUCUGGCUUAAGCCUGGGAAACUGGGUCUAGUACCUGAUAGGAGCGUCCACCGCAUGGUGGGUGUUGGAAAGAUUUAUCGGUUUUGGGUGGACUGUCGGCCUAUCAGCUUGUUGGUGAGGUAUUGGCUCACCAAGGCCUCGACUGGUAGCCGGCCUGAGAGGGUGGACGGCCACCCGAGGACUACGACACGGAGCAGAAUCGUACGUGAGGCAGAAGUGGAGAAUAUUGCGCAAUGGGCGCGAGCCUGAUGCAGCGGCGCCGCGUGCGGGAUGACGGCCUUCGGGUUGUAAACAUCUUUCAGUAGAGAAGAAGCGAAAGUGACGGUACCUGCAGAAGAAGCACCGGCUAACUACGUG
Molecule: ribosomal RNA, 466 nt
Filed under: uncultured bacterium
Lineage: Bacteria
Description: partial 16S ribosomal RNA
Rfam family: Bacterial small subunit ribosomal RNA
Source: RNAcentral